AGAUAGGGACAUUCGGGCGAAUGACCCAUUCUUAUAACCUCAGGGCCCAAAUGUAAAUGGACCUGAAUUUUGAUGGUAUUAUAUAAACCAACCCCGUAAAACCCUAGCCUCCUCAUAGACGCUGGGGACUCUUAACACAUCAACUCAGGUGGAGUAAGAAUAAUCAAAGGAGAAGAUGAGCAAAGUAAGUACAAAGGGUGGAAAGAAGAAGAGAGCAACAUUUGUGAUUCAUUGUGCAAAGCCAGUGGAUGAUAAAAUCAUGGAAAUUGCCUCAUCGGAGAAGUUUCUGCAAGAACGUAUCAAAGUUGGAGGAAAAGCAGGGGCUCUAGGUGACACUGUCACUCUCACUCGUGACAAGACCAAGAUUACCGUCACCUCCGACAACACUUUCUCUAAGCGAUGUGCUGCCACCACAGGAGUUUUGCCCACAUGAACACUUAUCAUGCCCAAAUUGCUUACAUGUCGAGCGCUUGCGAGAGUAAGUCUUUUCGCUAAUAUCUAUUUGAUUGUGAUAACGGGUUAACUUGUUUUUUCCCAAUUUACGGAUAUAGUUUUUGUUCGCAAUCAUAGAAAACGGCGGCUGGCCAAUAAGCUUGAUCACCAAGGGGACGGAAGUGGCAGGAAUAUGCUUCAAGGUAUUUUACGACCUUAUAUUCCUCCGCCACAUAAUCAGUUACAUUUCUGGCCAUUCUCUCAAAGCACUUGACUACAUGAGAACAUGGCAUGUGGUACGUUACUACUUACCACAAAUGCAUGAUUUUGUACGCUCAGUAACGAUAUAUUUGUUUCCUCCUUUGCCGUCGCAAUAACCCGUUCUAACUUCAUACACUCGUUAAGCGACGUCAUACUCGGUCAUUUGGUGACCCUCUGCUUUCCUUCUAUGGUGCUCCAUCUUUUUGUAGGGCUUUGGCAUCCAUGUUCUGUCCUCGGCUAAUAUAGCUCUGGCCUGCCUUGUCCUAUCCGUAAAUCGCUUCACGACCUGCCUGGAAGUUAGUCUUACCAUUGCGGUGACAGGCAGUCCUCGAUUUGAGCAGUCCAUUGAAAGACUCCGAGCUGUUCGUUGUGAGCAUGCCCUAUCUCCUUCCUCCAUCAGCAUAAAGUGUCCAUUUUUUAACUUCUAAUUUCAUCAACCAAACAUAUGCCUCUUCACUCACUUCCCUUACCAGCUCCAUUUUUGCAGACCAUUUUCUUUGUUGAUGUUGCAUCGCAGCCCCCACAUCAAUUUGUUUACAGUGCCAUUUCCAAACCUUGUUUGCAAAUUAUUAGUCUUUGAGUGUCUUAAACAAUAUCGAUAGUAAGCAUGUGGAGGCUGCCACCCUUCCAGAGUACGCAUAUUGUGCAAUAUGCCUUAUGACGAUCCGAUAGGACACAUAUGCCCUGACGACCCGUAAUAACAUGAGUUUGUAGAUGAGUCAAGAACAUCCCCUAUAUCUCGUUGCUCUCGUUGGCGGCAAUUGCGAAAGCAAGAGGGAAUAUUGACCUAUUGGCAUCCAUACCUACUGUAAUUAGGAGCUUAAUGUCAUAUCGGUCAUAUACAUGCGUCCCAUCUAUCAAUAUCACAUUCCGGCAAUGAGCAAAACCAUCAAUACGUGGUUUGAAUGCCCAAAAGACGAAGUUGAAAAUUCUGCCCUCUAAAUGCUGCCACUGUACAAUAGUGCCAGGAUUAACAUGUUUUAGAGCCGCCAUAUACCUCGGCAACGCCUGAAAAUAGGAUUCCCAAGUUUCAAAGGUCAUCUCAAAAGCAUGUCUACGCCCGAGAAAUCCCUUUCUCUUGCUUAUGAUUUUAUCAUAUUUUGAGUGGACCAUGUUAAUACAAGUUUUGAUAGGCAUCCUACAUAAGUUUAUACAAACAACAUUUAGCAAUGAUAAUUUAAUUGCUAUAAGAUAUAUAAUGUAAACGGUCAGAUAAGUUACCUUGGAGUUUCCUCAAUGUGUUUAAGUAACAGAUGAGCAAUCAUGUUUAUAUCUAAAUUAAAAUGAUCUGCUCGGCUUUGUCCCAUAUCACAAGUAUGCUUUGGGUGAAAUUUUGUGAAUUCUCACAGACCAUCAGGCUUAGCAAUUCCCCGAAGCAACCACCGAUAGCCUUGAGUAUGUCGCUUACAAAUCAGCUGUCAUACCGAUUUGUUUGAGUCAUCAACCUUAAACUCCCUCAUAUCCUUUAUAAAAUACAUUCUGACAGCCUGUUGCAACAUCUUUUUUGAUGUGAACUGCAUUCCCUUUGCAAGGACGCAUUCAUCAGUCAUGAGAUUUUUUGGUUCAAUCCACGUUUUUUGGCGACUUUAAUCAUCAUCUCUUGUGAAGACAAAUGCAUCCUCACGACCUUGGAGACUGUCAAGAUAUGAAAUAUAGUCAGAAUGUCAUUGCAUUGAAUGGGCUGUCAGGAAUUGGGUUUUCCGCCAUCAGAGGUGGUACGUGGUGGUGAAUUGGUUCUGGUUGCUUCUGAGGACUAAAAUGCGUAUCUUCUUCAUCCCCUUCACUAUCUUCAUCAUCAGUUACCUCUGCAUUAUUUGCAGGUUCAUCGCCAUCACUCUCUGAUGUAUCCACAUAACUUGGACAAUCAACGCCAUCUAAGAAAGACCUCCUCCUACACGAUAAAAAACAUAUGUUAAAUUCCAAAUUCAAAUAUAUAUAUAUAUAUAUAUAUAUAUAUAUAUAUAUAUAUAUAUAUAUAUAACAUCAAGGUGGUGAAUCUACACAUAUUGAUAAUGAGCAUGGUGUGGAGAAUGAUCAACUCUAUCAAACUGAGAGAACUGCCUUUCAUCCACAAUUGGUACCACUGGCGAGUUUUGAUAAUAAUCAGCUGCACCGAACUGAGAAUUAUUAUAAUAAUCAGCUCCACUGAACUGAGAAUUAUUAUAAUAAUCAGCUCCAUUGAACUGAGAAUUUUGAUAAUAAUGAGUUGCUCCACUAAAUUGAGAUGAUUGCCAAUAUUACUCGUAUCAGGUCUAUAACCCCUACAAAGAUUUAAAAAUGGUUAUUUUACCAAUACAUACAAUAAACACGUGCUACUGCACAAAAUAAUAAUAUAAGAAUGCAUAUUUACCAAGUUUGAUUUAAUUGUUGGGUAAGAUUUUCCAGCGGCACCUGGCCACUCAAAAUACCCCCGUAAGAACUAAAAUCUUCAUAC
Lycium barbarum (goji berry) is the source of this 3127-nucleotide RNA transcript. It is a transcript of the gene named large ribosomal subunit protein eL22z-like, with no coding region annotated. The record is from RefSeq and is a predicted model, not a curated record. The transcript is spliced from 3 exons. Lineage: Eukaryota; Viridiplantae; Streptophyta; Magnoliopsida; Solanales; Solanaceae.